CGUUUGGGGUGCUUCAGUGGCUGGCUGCUGACACUGGCAUGCCUGGGGUCUAAGCUUCAGUGUGUAAGAUCUUCCCUGUCCUUCAGACCCAUGAGAUCUCAGGACCCCCAGCACUGACUUUAUGUUUCUCCAAAGUGUUCUUUGCUGUGAAGCAUGUGAAAAUGGAGCUGGCCCCUGCCUAGCAAGGCUCCUUGCUCACUGAGCUGCUCCAGGACUACGCUCUCAGAAGGACCAAAAUCAGGCUGAAACUUGGCAUCCGAAGUCACAAGGGAGAAACUAGGAAGAAAGAAACCACCCCUGGCUAAGCUGCUUCUGGGUGAUAUGAAAGUGAAAUUGCUGGGAGCUUUGCAGGGAACAGUCAGCUCCAGGAAGGCUUUGGGGUACCCUUACCAAUGCUUCCUACACCCAACCCCCCACCGCUCCUUCAGCCGUGUUACUGCCACUGCUGCGAUGCCAGACGGCGAGCGGGAUCAGUAAAACCGAUGCAGGUUUGAGCUCGUGGCAGGAAAACGAGGGAAGCCCAACAGCACGACACGAAGGCUCAAGCAUUGGAUGGGCCAUAAAAAAACACUUCCAAAGUACACCUUUUGUAAAAUCUCAUUAUUUUCCGAGGGUUGAUUCAUGACGGUUGAAUCGCCAGGACCAGCAACAUUCGUAUAAUGCAGAAGAGCAAUAAACAUUACAGAAGUAAAAAAGCACAGCUCUUCUAUAUCACACGCCAGCUGCAGCGACACUACGCCUCAGCUGGAUUUAUUGUGGCGUCCUCCAGCAGAGCGAGUGGCGAAGUGCUGCCAUUACUUCUGAUUAUGAACGGAUCGGAUCUGGCUACCCAAAGGAAUUUACUCUGCAGUGUGCUGUUUCAAUGCAAUGACAUCACAGACACCGGCAGGGUUCCUACCCAGCAUGAGAUAGACACAGCUCCCAGCAUCAUCUGGCACCCAGCAAGUUCACCUCUGGAACUUCCUCAAGCUCUUUCUGGAAGUGACACAGAGCUGCUCAGUGCCCCGGCACUCAGGUUCAGUUUGGACAAGGAUUUUGGAUGUCCGCAUAGAAGAGCUGUUUGAACACAGGGGUUUAGUUUGGUGUUUUACUAAAUAAACUUUGCAUUUACAAAC
Molecule: long non-coding RNA, 1115 nt
Filed under: Gallus gallus (chicken)
Lineage: Eukaryota; Metazoa; Chordata; Aves; Galliformes; Phasianidae
Description: lncRNA (ENSGALG00010013522.1)
Source: RNAcentral